GACGUAGGUGGCGAGCGUUAUUCGGAUUUAUUGGGCGUGAAGGGUCCGCAGGGGGUUUGUUAAGUCUGGUGUGAAAGCCCAUGGCUCAACCAUGGAACGGCACUGGAUACUGGCAGACUAGAGUACUGGAGAGGAGAGUGGAAUUCUCGGUGUAGCGGUGGAAUGCGUAGAUAUCGGGAAGAACGCCGAUGGCGAAGGCAGCUCUCUGGACAGUUACUGACACUCAUGGACGAAAGCCGGGGGAGCGAACAGG
This 253-nucleotide ribosomal RNA is filed under the name uncultured bacterium. RNAcentral describes it as "partial 16S ribosomal RNA". It matches the Rfam family "Bacterial small subunit ribosomal RNA", at positions 524 to 776 of the family's 1533-position model. The record is from RNAcentral.